AAUGAACGUUGGCGGCGUGGAUUAGGCAUGCAAGUCGCGCGAUAAGUGUAGCAAUACAUGGAAAGCGGCGAAAGGGACAGUAAUGUAUGGGAACCUACCCUGAGGCUCGGGAUAGCGGCGGGAAACUGCCGGUAAUACCGAAUAAUGUCUCUGGACCAAAGGUGUGAUUCCUCCUUGGGAUGGGCCCAUAUGCUAUUAGCUAGUUGGCGAGGUAAAAGCUCACCAAGGCUAAGAUGGCUAGCGGGUGUGAGAGCACGACCCGCGUCACUGGGACUGAGAUACUGCCCAGAAACCUACGGGUGGCUGCAGUCGAGAAUCUUCGGCAAUGGGCGAAAGCCUGACCGAGCGACGCCGCGUGCGGGAUGAAGGCCCUCGGGUUGUAAACCGCUGUCGAGGGGGACGAAAUUCUGGUGGGUACUCCCACCAGAUUGACCGAUCCCUGGAGGAAGGGUGGGCUAAGUUCGUGCCAGCAGCCGCCGUAA
RNAcentral lists this ribosomal RNA (482 nucleotides) under uncultured bacterium. RNAcentral's name for it is "partial 16S ribosomal RNA". It matches the Rfam family "Bacterial small subunit ribosomal RNA", at positions 29 to 523 of the family's 1533-position model. The record is from RNAcentral.